GACAGUUUUUAGCUCGACUUUUCUAUGAAAAGGGGAGCUAUCCUACUCGCCCCGGCGUCGGCGUCGGCGUUGGCGUCACACCUUGGUUAAGUUUUUCGUACCACCCCACUUUAUUUCAGAAGUAUUACAAGUAUGGCUUUGAAACUUACCAUACUUGUUCACCAUCAUAACCUCCAUCUACAGACAAGAGUACAUAACUCUGUCAAGGUUUUUGACAGAAUUAUGGCCCUUUUUUGACUUAGAAAGUGUAUUGAGCUUGGUUUAAGUUUUUUGUACCACCUCACUUUAUUUCAAAACCAUUGGAGGUAUUGCUUUGAAACUGACCAUACUUGUUUACCAUCACGACCUUCAUCAACAGACAAGAGGACAUAACUCUGUUCAAGGUUUUGACAGAAAUAUGCCCCUUUUUGACUUAGAAAAUACAUUGAAUAUGGGUAAAAUCCACUUAUUGCCUUAACCCUUUGAGAUAUUGCUUUGAAACUUUUAAUGCUAUUUCACAUCAUUACCCCCAUCUGUACGCAAGAGAAGGUAACUCUGUCAAGGAUUUGUUUUAAAAAUUUAAGGCCUUUUAUCGACUUAGAAUCUUGGUUAAGUUUUUAGUACCAGUCCACUUUUUGACUGAACUGUUUGAGAUAUUAAUUUGAAAGUUGGAAUACUUGUUUACAAUCAUGAUUCCCAAACAUGUCCAGGAGAAGGUAAUUCUGUCAAAGAUUUUAUUUGAAUUAUGGCCCUUAACUGUCAAUGUUUUGUAUUAUAGGCAAGCACUAAAAAAGUU
Long non-coding RNA from Ruditapes philippinarum (Manila clam), 775 nucleotides. RefSeq lists it as uncharacterized. The transcript has 2 exons. The record is from RefSeq and is a predicted model, not a curated record. NCBI's taxonomy places the organism in Eukaryota, Metazoa, Mollusca, Bivalvia, Venerida, Veneridae.